CACUCUGGAGACAUCCGGGCCCGACCCGGAGGCCGAAGGUGCAAGGGGUGGCUGACCACCGAAUCUCUCAGGCAAAAGGACAGAGCA
Molecule: non-coding RNA, 87 nt
Filed under: human gut metagenome
Description: Glycine riboswitch
Rfam family: Glycine riboswitch aptamer
About the family: This family represents the bacterial glycine riboswitch. Glycine riboswitches usually consist of two metabolite-binding aptamers domains with similar structures in tandem. The aptamers cooperatively bind glycine to regulate the expression of downstream genes.
Source: RNAcentral